GCCGCUUCCUCUCCCUCCACCGCGCAGCUCCAGCCGCCUUGCCGCCGCCGCAUCCCCUUCCAAGUUCAGGCUGUGGGUGGAACCUGUUGCUUUAGCUCACGUUUCCCUUCCCCUCCGGGCUGCACGCUGAGGAUGACCUCAGCGAGGUGUGUGUAAGGGGAAUGGAGGGUUUGGCUUCCUUGAGACAGAGGAUCUUGCUCGCCUCAAAGAGGAGGGCAGUUUGCCCCCUUCCUCCUGACUCCAAGACAAAAGAGAGAAGACUGAAGAGUGGUAAAGCUUGUGGUGGAUCCAGGGCCUCUCAGAGUUCACCUGAGCUUUCCCAAGUCUGGUUUGUUCUCUCUACCCUGCUGCUACUACUGCAAGUGACUUUCACAAGAUGCUUCUGAGCAUAGCAUUGCUCUGCUGUGACCACUGCAGAUGUCAAGAGAAUUUCUGCCUUUUGGAACUUGGACAAUAUUGGCCACCUACCCAGAGAGAGGAGAAGGAUAAUCCAGACAUAAAGGUAGCUCCCACACAUCCUUUGGAUCUCUGAUAAAGAGUCAUAUACUUAAAGAGCCAUCCUCACAUUCCUGCCCAGACUGUGAGCUGCAUGAGAGAGGCCAUGUCUCAUUUUGUUCCAUUACAUCUCCAGCACUUAAGAGUGCUGGACACAUAACGAGUGUCUGACACAUAACGAGUGCUGAAUAAAUGUUUGUUAACUG
This 701-nucleotide long non-coding RNA is filed under the name Homo sapiens (human). Its description in RNAcentral is "HSALNT0315717". Lineage: Eukaryota; Metazoa; Chordata; Mammalia; Primates; Hominidae. The record is from RNAcentral.